UGGAUGUGUGUUGCUGCCACAGCAGC
This 26-nucleotide non-coding RNA is filed under the name Homo sapiens (human). The record is from RNAcentral. Lineage: Eukaryota; Metazoa; Chordata; Mammalia; Primates; Hominidae.